CCUACGGGACGCAGCAGUGAGGAAUCUUGGUCAAUGGGCGCGAGCCUGAACCAGCCAAGUAGCGUGGAGGAUGACUGCCCUACGGGUUGUAAACUUCUUUUAUAAAGGAAUAAAGUGAUGCACGUGUGCCUUUUUGUAUGUACUUUAUGAAUAAGGAUCGGCUAACUCCGUGCCAGCAGCCGCGGUACUACGGUGGGUCCGAGCGUUAUCCGGAUUUCUUGGGUUUAAAGGGAGCGUAGAUGG
RNAcentral lists this ribosomal RNA (243 nucleotides) under uncultured bacterium. RNAcentral describes it as "partial 16S ribosomal RNA". It matches the Rfam family "Bacterial small subunit ribosomal RNA", at positions 338 to 578 of the family's 1533-position model. The record is from RNAcentral.